GCCGUGGGCAUAGUUUAAAAAAACAUUAAGCUGUGGACUUAAAAAUAAAGAUACACACCUCUUUUUCCCACC
RNAcentral lists this transfer RNA (72 nucleotides) under Hemidactylus flaviviridis. RNAcentral's name for it is "tRNA-His". It matches the Rfam family "tRNA". From Rfam's summary of the family: Transfer RNA (tRNA) molecules are approximately 80 nucleotides in length. Their secondary structure includes four short double-helical elements and three loops (D, anti-codon, and T loops). Lineage: Eukaryota; Metazoa; Chordata; Lepidosauria; Squamata; Gekkonidae. The record is from RNAcentral.